This 68-nucleotide transfer RNA is filed under the name Marmota monax (woodchuck). Its description in RNAcentral is "tRNA.Ala". The stretch from base 5 to 65 matches the Rfam family "tRNA", at positions 6 to 65 of the family's 71-position model. Rfam says of the family: Transfer RNA (tRNA) molecules are approximately 80 nucleotides in length. Their secondary structure includes four short double-helical elements and three loops (D, anti-codon, and T loops). Lineage: Eukaryota; Metazoa; Chordata; Mammalia; Rodentia; Sciuridae. The record is from RNAcentral.
GGAUUGUAGCUCAGUGGUAGAGUGCUUGCCUAGCAUGUGUGAGGCACUGGGUUCAAUUCUCAGCACCA